Bos taurus (domestic cattle) is the source of this 1140-nucleotide long non-coding RNA. Lineage: Eukaryota; Metazoa; Chordata; Mammalia; Artiodactyla; Bovidae. The record is from Ensembl.
GCUCCUCCCCGGAGCAUCUCAGCGGGGAAGGGCAGCCGCCUUACGGACAAGGCCCGUGUUAUGGAUGGUGCUUCCAGCCUCGAGCAGGUUCAUCCUUCAGCAGUCCAGGCUCUGCCCUGCACCGAAGGACUGCUCCACGGGGCACGUGAGCUCAGCCACGUCCUUUAGCUAACAGGCGUCAGAGGACCGAGACAUCAUCAGCGGUGGGAGGGAUAACGUGACAGCUAACACCCCAAUUCCCAACUUGUGUUCAUUUUCUCUUGGCGUCGUUAGUCUAAAGAGAGGUCGGCACACCCACAGAGCCUUCAUCGUUCAAGAAUUCGAGCCUUUUGAUUUAAUCUAAUUUUUCUCAGAUUUUACCCAUUAAGAACGUGUUCUCAGUUUUCAUGUCAAUCUGCCUUUUCUCCUCAAGCUGUCUUUCAAAAAUAUCUUCGUGGGACAAACAGUGUGAUGAGAAGGGGAGUUAAUUUGCCCUUGUUAAAAACCAAGAUAUGAAAGAUGCCACCCAAGAGUGGUUGGUGACCACCGGGCAGCCUAGCAGGUCAUCUCGUCUUGGCAACCGUAAAGUGUGGUGAUUUCUCCAAGGUUUGGUCCUGUGCUUACUCUCCUUGGGACUCUCUGAGGCAGCUCUGUCUUCAGCGACCGCCCGUGUACCGAUAACUCUCCGAUGAGCCUCCAGGCAGACUUCUCCCUCCGUACCUGCUGUGGGAUGCUCUCCCAGGUGCUGAGGGUUAGCUGCACCCUUUUCUGGGCACUUCCUUAGUAACCCUGUGCUUUCCUGUAUCUGCCAGUUAGAACCUGUGUGAUAUUCAGCUGUGUGUCUUCAGUGUUUGGCAAGGUGUUUGGCACGUGGUCAGGGCUUGCGGUUUGUUCAGCUGUGGACUGGAAUUCGGGGCAGGGCUUGGGGGCAGAAGGCAUGGCAUCACUGCACAUACUGGGGCGCGGCUGGGUGAGUCUGCUUUGGCAGAUGAGCCAAGAUAGUUGACUAUGAGAACAACUUUUCAGAUGAUAAUGCCUUCAUGAUUGUAAUUAUGUAAGCUUAUGUAAGAAGACAGAAAGUAUACAUGGGAUUUAACAUGGAUGAUUUCUAUUUUGUCUGUUACUUUUGUAUUAUCAGAGUUGUCUACAAUGCAUAUAAAC